GGAGACUGGCUGUACCUUAAUGGUAGAGCAUUGGGUUUGCAAUCAAAAGGUCCAAAGUUCAAUCCCCGGCAUCUUCA
This is a non-coding RNA of Podarcis lilfordi (Lilford's wall lizard), 77 nucleotides long. The record is from the annotation of a GenBank genome assembly. NCBI's taxonomy places the organism in Eukaryota, Metazoa, Chordata, Lepidosauria, Squamata, Lacertidae.